GCCUCUGAGGAUGACUAAAUCAUACUUUCGUUCUUCUGAAAUGAUCCGUGUGGAAAAUUCUUGGAGACCUGAACUGAAGAGGC
Macadamia integrifolia is the source of this 83-nucleotide small nucleolar RNA. RefSeq annotates it as small nucleolar RNA Z159/U59. The record is from RefSeq and is a predicted model, not a curated record. The transcript has a single exon. Lineage: Eukaryota; Viridiplantae; Streptophyta; Magnoliopsida; Proteales; Proteaceae.